This 1248-nucleotide ribosomal RNA is filed under the name uncultured Shewanella sp. RNAcentral describes it as "partial 16S ribosomal RNA". It matches the Rfam family "Bacterial small subunit ribosomal RNA", at positions 46 to 1316 of the family's 1533-position model. Lineage: Bacteria; Pseudomonadati; Pseudomonadota; Gammaproteobacteria; Alteromonadales; Shewanellaceae. The record is from RNAcentral.
GCCUAACACAUGCAAGUCGAGCGGCAGCACAAGGGAGUUUACUUCUGAGGUGGCGAGCGGCGGACGGGUGAGUAAUGCCUAGGGAUCUGCCCAGUCGAGGGGGAUAACAGUUGGAAACGACUGCUAAUACCGCAUACGCCCUACGGGGGAAAGGAGGGGACCUUCGGGCCUUCCGCGAUUGGAUGAACCUAGGUGGGAUUAGCUAGUUGGUGAGGUAAUGGCUCACCAAGGCGACGAUCCCUAGCUGUUCUGAGAGGAUGAUCAGCCACACUGGGACUGAGACACGGCCCAGACUCCUACGGGAGGCAGCAGUGGGGAAUAUUGCACAAUGGGGGAAACCCUGAUGCAGCCAUGCCGCGUGUGUGAAGAAGGCCUUCGGGUUGUAAAGCACUUUCAGUAGGGAGGAAAGGGUGUAGUUUAAUACGCUGUAUCUGUGACGUUACCUACAGAAGAAGGACCGGCUAACUCCGUGCCAGCAGCCGCGGUAAUACGGAGGGUCCGAGCGUUAAUCGGAAUUACUGGGCGUAAAGCGUGCGCAGGCGGUUUGUUAAGCGAGAUGUGAAAGCCCUGGGCUCAACCUAGGAAUAGCAUUUCGAACUGGCGAACUAGAGUCUUGUAGAGGGGGGUAGAAUUCCAGGUGUAGCGGUGAAAUGCGUAGAGAUCUGGAGGAAUACCGGUGGCGAAGGCGGCCCCCUGGACAAAGACUGACGCUCAUGCACGAAAAGCGUGGGGAGCAAACAGGAUUAGAUACCCUGGUAGUCCACGCCGUAAACGAUGUCUACUCGGAGUUUGGUGUCUUGAACACUGGGCUCUCAAGCUAACGCAUUAAGUAGACCGCCUGGGGAGUACGGCCGCAAGGUUAAAACUCAAAUGAUUUGACGGGGCCCGCACAAGCGGUGGAGCAUGUGGUUUAAUUCGAUGCAACGCGAAGAACCUUACCUACUCUUGACAUCCACGGAAUUUUCUAGAGAUAGCUUAGUGCCUUCGGGAACUGUGAGACAGGUGCUGCAUGCUGUCGUCACUCGUGUUGUGAAAUGUUGGGUUAAGUCCCGCACGAGCGCACCCUUAUCCUAUUUGCCAGCACGUAAUGGUGGACUCUAGGGAGACUGGCCGUGAUAACCGAGGAGUGGACGAACGUCAAGUCUAUCAUGCCUACGAGUAGCUACGCUGCUACAUGGCAGUACAGAGUGCAAAGCGCAAGGACUAUCCUAGCUGUCGAGUUCCGAUGGGAUACUGCAUCGACACGUA